This 871-nucleotide ribosomal RNA is filed under the name uncultured archaeon. Its description in RNAcentral is "bacterial SSU rRNA". It matches the Rfam family "Archaeal small subunit ribosomal RNA", at positions 4 to 882 of the family's 1478-position model. The record is from RNAcentral.
CUGGUUGAUCCUGCCAGAGGUCACUGCUAUCGGGGUUCGAUUAAGCCAUGCGAGUCGAGAGGGUUCAGACCCUCGGCGGACUGCUCAGUAACACGUGGAUAACCUGCCCUAAGGUGGAGCAUAACCCCGGGAAACUGGGGAUAAUACUCCAUAGGUUAGAGAUACUGGAAUGUUCUUUAAUCAAAAGUUCCGGCGCCUUAGGAUGGAUCUGCGGCCGAUUAGGUAGUUGUUGGGGUAACGGCCCAACAAGCCUGUAAUCGGUACGGGUUGUGGGAGCAAGAGCCCGGAGAUGGAAUCUGAGACACGAUUCCAGGCCCUACGGGGCGCAGCAGGCGCGAAAACUUUACAAUGCAGGAAACUGUGAUAAGGGAACCCCGAGUGCCCGUAUACGCGGGCUGUCCGGGUGUAUAAAAAGCAUCUGAAGAAAGGGCCGGGCAAGACCGGUGCCAGCCGCCGCGGUAAUACCGGCGGCUCGAGUGGUGACCACUUUUAUUGGGCUUAAAGCGUUCGUAGCUGGACUCUUAAGUCUCUUGGGAAAUCCCGCGGCUCAACCGUGGGGCGUUUAAGAGAUACUGGGAGUCUAGGAAUCGGGAGAGGUAAGAGGUACUUCGGGGGUAGAAGUGAAAUUCUGUAAUCCUCGAGGGACCACCGAUGGCGAAGGCAUCUUACCAGAACGGCUUCGACAGUGAGGAACGAAAGCUGGGGGAGCGAACGGGAUUAGAUACCCCGGUAGUCCCAGCCGUAAACGAUGCGCGUUAGGUGUACUGGUGACCACGAGUCACUGGGGUGCCGAAGGGAAACCGUGAAACGUGCCGCCUGGGAAGUACGGUCGCAAGGCUGAAACUUAAAGGAAUUGGCGGGGGAGCACCAC